This 86-nucleotide transfer RNA is filed under the name Candidatus Peregrinibacteria bacterium RIFCSPLOWO2_01_FULL_39_12. RNAcentral describes it as "tRNA-Leu". It matches the Rfam family "tRNA". Rfam says of the family: Transfer RNA (tRNA) molecules are approximately 80 nucleotides in length. Their secondary structure includes four short double-helical elements and three loops (D, anti-codon, and T loops). Further hydrogen bonds mediate the characteristic L-shaped molecular structure. tRNAs have two regions of fundamental functional importance: the anti-codon, which is responsible for specific mRNA codon recognition, and the 3' end, to which the tRNAs corresponding amino acid is attached (by aminoacyl-tRNA synthetases). tRNAs cope with the degeneracy of the genetic code in two manners: having more than one tRNA (with a specific anti-codon) for a particular amino acid; and 'wobble' base-pairing, i.e. permitting non-standard base-pairing at the 3rd anti-codon position. Lineage: Bacteria; Candidatus Peregrinibacteriota. RNAcentral also lists the same sequence under 1 other name. The record is from RNAcentral.
GCCCAGGUGGCGGAAUGGUAGACGCGCUACUUUGAGGUGGUAGUGCUCGAAAGGGCGUGGAGGUUCAAGUCCUCUCCUGGGCACCA